Molecule: ribosomal RNA, 465 nt
Filed under: uncultured Desulfotomaculum sp.
Lineage: Bacteria; Bacillati; Bacillota; Clostridia; Eubacteriales; Desulfotomaculaceae
Description: bacterial SSU rRNA
Rfam family: Bacterial small subunit ribosomal RNA
Source: RNAcentral
CCCGCACAAGCGGUGGAGCAUGUGGUUUAAUUCGACGCAACGCGAAGAACCUUACCAGGGCUUGACAUCCCCUGACCGUCUAUGAAAGUAGGCUUUCUACCUUCGGGUAGACAGGGAGACAGGUGGUGCAUGGUUGUCGUCAGCUCGUGUCGUGAGAUGUUGGGUUAAGUCCCGCAACGAGCGCAACCCUUACGGUUAGUUGCCAGCGGGUUAUGCCGGGCACUCUAGCUGAACUGCCGUUGACAAAACGGAGGAAGUGGGAUGACGUCAAAUCAUCAUGCCCUUUAUGUCCUGGGCUACACACGUGCUACAAUGGCCUGUACAGAGGGAAGCGAAAGGGUGACCUGGAGCGAAUCCCAAAAAGCAGGUCUCAGUUCGGAUUGCAGGCUGCAACCCGCCUGCAUGAAGUCGGAAUCGCUAGUAAUCGCAGGUCAGCAUACUGUGGUGAAUACGUUCCCGGGCCUU